This 481-nucleotide ribosomal RNA is filed under the name uncultured bacterium. RNAcentral describes it as "bacterial SSU rRNA". It matches the Rfam family "Bacterial small subunit ribosomal RNA", at positions 501 to 985 of the family's 1533-position model. The record is from RNAcentral.
CUACGUGCCAGCAGCCGCGGUAAUACGGAAGGUCCGGGCGUUAUCCGGAUUUAUUGGGUUUAAAGGGAGCGUAGGCUGGAGAUUAAGUGUGUUGUGAAAUGUAGACGCUCAACGUCUGACUUGCAGCGCAUACUGGUUUCCUUGAGUACGCACAACGUUGGCGGAAUUCGUCGUGUAGCGGUGAAAUGCUUAGAUAUGACGAAGAACUCCGAUUGCGAAGGCAGCUGACGGGAGCGCCACUGACGCUUAAGCUCGAAGGUGCGGGUAUCGAACAGGAUUAGAUACCCUGGUAGUCCGCACAGUAAACGAUGGAUGCCCGCUGUUGGUACCUGGUAUCAGCGGCUAAGCGAAAGCAUUAAGCAUCCCACCUGGGGAGUACGCCGGCAACGGUGAAACUCAAAGGAAUUGACGGGGGCCCGCACAAGCGGAGGAACAUGUGGUUUAAUUCGAUGAUACGCGAGGAACCUUACCCGGGCUUGAA